Molecule: long non-coding RNA, 104 nt
Filed under: Mustela putorius furo (domestic ferret)
Lineage: Eukaryota; Metazoa; Chordata; Mammalia; Carnivora; Mustelidae
Description: lncRNA (ENSMPUG00000032111.1)
Source: RNAcentral
UGAUGCCAGAACUCUGCAGAGCGGGACUAAAUUGAGCCGCUGUGCUGAGAAUGAUUUCAUUUACUACUUCUAACAACCAUACGAUGAAGUAAAAUCAUUUUUCC